Molecule: long non-coding RNA, 41050 nt
Filed under: Setaria viridis
Lineage: Eukaryota; Viridiplantae; Streptophyta; Magnoliopsida; Poales; Poaceae
Description: long non-coding RNA (SVIR_LNC006048)
Source: RNAcentral
UUUUUUUUUGUUUCCCAUAACUGUUUCUAGUCUCAUGAACAUGAACUUUGGCUUGGGAAUCGUCAUAGCAGCGCUUGUGACAGUAUUAAGGCGAGUAAAAAGGACUAGCACACAGAGACAGAGCGAAUCAACACUGGGGGAAACACGGACCAAUUCUCAAUUGGAUAAAAUGUUUUUUUAGGCUGCAAUUGGAUAAAAAAUAUUAAAAGCAUAUAAGUAUCACUUGUAACCACUUGUAAACAUUGAUGCCAGACGCGGCCAUGCCAUGCCAUGCCCAAUUCUCUGCAAAUCACCCCAUCAAGGAAUCAACCAUAGAUAUUGACUGCGCAAAUCAUUUGUGAAAAUUGCAUGCUUUAUAUUACAUCCCAUGGCAACUAGAUUUCAGCAGAAAACUGCACCUCAAUCAUGCUUGAUCUUGUCCUCAGUUUUGAGGCGUGUAUACUCUACAGUCUACAGAAGGUAAUAAUGCUGGAAACGGUAAUAGUGCUGCUUGUAUAUCCCUCCUUGGGCCUAUUUUCGAGUAAUGCUGGGCCGAGCCAGGACCCAGCGCUACUUGCCGGCCCAACGACAAAAAAAAAAAACCGUUUUUGCCUUGCAAAAAGAACGGAUCAUCCGAAGAAGACCCAUCAGGUGAGCACUGUGCCACUGUCGUCGUGGUCUCGUGGCCGCAGCCACGAGAUCAUCAGGCAAGACCCAUCACAGCUCAAGAACAAGUGUGACCACUGCUAGGUUGCUAGGGAAUGCAUCGUACUUGGUCACUUUGGACCACCGCUUGCGGCUGCGCGGAGAGCCGGAGUGACAAGCGUGCCAGUGGUGGUGCCUAAACAGCUAACCACACUCCAGUCGGCUUCAUUCCUGCGCCUUGGUAUGGUUGAUCACUUGAUCCAGCUCGAGUCCUCGCGCAGGCGCACCAUGGCAGCGGAACCAACCAGCGAACCAUACACGACUAGGUGGUUGGUGGUUAGGAAUGGCAAUGGGUGGGAUGAGGUGCGGGUGGAGUAAAAAUCCGCCCUCAACAAGAUCCGCAACAAUUGGUCACCCCCUCGGAUAGAUCCACAGGUAAAAUGUCAUACCCGCACCUACACCUGUGGGUCACCCUCAGGUUUCGGAUCGCCUGUGGGUGCGACAUACAAUAUAUAUCAAUAUGAUCAUACGAUAUCAAGCAAUAUAUAUCAUCUCAAUAAAAACAAUAAGAAUAGUUCAGGAAACUAAACUUUCAUCUUUAAAUACAAUACAUCACAUGAUAAUCACCUCCGUGUACAGGAGGCUAGGAGCUGAUGCACGUGGCCUACGCGACAUGCCUAGGAGGUUGGGAAUUUAUGGCGACAUGGACAAGGGAAGGGAGAGGGACUGAGGGGAGGGGAGUGACCGAAUGAGUGAUUGUGUAGUCUAAGGUUCCAGUUAAGCUGGAUCGAAUUCAUGGUACAAAGGGUCAUGUGUCAUGAAAUAUUAUCUACCUUUUUAUAAUAAUCCUACUAAGCAUCCACGGGUGAAAAUUUACACCCACUUCUAACCCAUCUUAAUACAAAUCGGGUCGGAUCUAAAAAAUUUCACGUGUGAAACCCGCGGACGCCGGCACCAUGGUUCCAACUCCCCUCCCUAUCCUACAUGGGUGCGUGGCUCGGUGGCUGCGUGCUCGCCGCCGGCCUGCACGGGCCCCACCAGAUUGGUACGGUCCACGUGGCUCCCCUUGGACCGUUCCUACCCUAUAUAGCAGCAGCCUCACGCCCGCACCACAGGCUACUUCCACGGCAGCACUCCCGAGCCACACCUCCCGCGCACGCCACCGGCCACACAGGCAGUCACCACCGCGCCGCCGCCGACGAUGACGGCCGGCCAGCCGCUCCACACCGACCCGCCCCAGCCCCAGCGGGCGCGGCACCACAGCGGCGGCCCGCCGGCGGCGCUGGACGCGGGCGUCGUGCCGUCGCACCCUCCGCCCGAGUCCGACGGCGACGAGUCCUGGGUGUGGUCCCAGAUCAAGGCCGAGGCCCGGCGCGACGCGGACGCCGAGCCGGCGCUGGCGUCGUUCCUCUACGCCACCGUGCUGUCCCACCCGUCCCUCGACCGCUCCCUCGCCUUCCACCUCGCCAACAAGCUCUGCUCCUCCACGCUGCUCUCCACGCUCCUGUACGACCUCUUCGUCGCCUCGCUCGCCGCGCACCCGUCCAUCCGCGCCGCCGCCGUCGCUGACCUCAUCGCCGCGCGGUCCAGGGACCCGGCCUGCGCGGGCUUCGCGCACUGCCUCCUCAACUACAAGGGUUUUCUCGCCGUGCAGGCGCACCGCGUCGCGCACGUCUUGUGGGCUCAGAGCCGCCGCGCGCUGGCGCUCGCGCUCCAGUCCCGCGUCGCCGAGGUCUUCGCCGUCGACAUCCACCCGGCCGCGGCGAUCGGGAAGGGCAUCCUGCUGGACCACGCCACGGGCGUCGUCAUCGGCGAGACCGCCAUCGUGGGCGACAACGUCUCCAUCCUCCACCACGUGACGCUGGGCGGGACGGGGAAGGCGGUGGGCGACCGGCACCCCAAGAUCGGGGACGGCGUGCUCAUCGGUGCCGGCGCCACCAUCCUGGGCAACGUGAGGAUCGGGGCCGGGGCCAAGGUCGGCGCCGGGUCGGUGGUGCUCAUCGACGUGCCGCCCAGGAGCACCGCGGUGGGGAACCCAGCGAGGCUGAUCGGCGGGAAGAAGGGCGAGGACGUCAUGCCCGGGGAGUCCAUGGACCACACCUCCUUCAUACAGCAGUGGUCCGACUACAUCAUUUGAGUUGAGCCCUCCGUCGAGCUGCAGAAGACCUCGUCUUGCUUGCUAGUGAUUUCGUUGUCUGUGUGUGCUUGCGUUAGUUGUAAACUUGUAAUGGUGCAGAAUAGCACUGUCUUUGUCUGUGUGCCUGUGUUGUCUUGCUCGUCUCUGGGGCCUGGAGUCCGGAUGGAUGUGGUGAAGUUCACUCUGUAAUUUUCGAAGCAGAUGAGCAAUGCUACUUUUUGCGAGACAAAACUGUUUGCUUUGGUUAUCAUCUCCAGAGAACAACCAGUACAAAUGCAAAAAAAAAAAAAGACAGCUUCUGAACUUGCCCACCAUUGCAUGAUUGCAGCUAUGCUCAAAUCAUCAUCCGGACGGCUUGUCAGGCCUCGUUCAUGUUCAUGCUCGGGACGGGGAACAUUUCCUGUCCGGCCUUCGCACGCCGUGCACGAGAAAACACCCGGAAAACACGACCACAAUAAUCGAAUGGACGAGGCGACAGUCAGAAAAGAAAAGAACAGCCAUAUCCCUCCGCUCUGUUCAGGUAUCGGCUGCGAAAAGAUAUGAUGCUGUCCUGUCUUGUCACUUACUCCUACAUGACGCAGUCCUUGCAGAUGAUAUCACGCGUUGGCUCAUAUAUUUUUUUUUUCUGGACGAAAUUAAUCUGUGCAUAUCCUUUUGCACGCCUUGAUGCGGUCUUUAUCGUCCGCGUUACAGAGCUGUAUCCUAGUACUGUUCGUGAAGCACAUGGUUUUAGAUAUUCUUUCCCGUGUGGGGAUCGCCGGAUCGCAACGGGAUCUCUUGCGUGUUGACACGCGGCGAGCCACUUGAGCUAAUUGCGGUUAUUUCUGUGAUAACAGCUAAUUACGGUUCUUGGAUCUUGGUUUGGAGGUAGGGCACGCCUCGUCGCAAUGGAUUGCCAACUUGAUGCAACGCGGCGACCUCCCAGGCCUUAUUCUUUUGCUUGCUGGGAGCAGAAUAAGGAGGCGAACAUGGCUUUGGCUUGCAAUGUUUGUUCUCUGCGGCUCUCUGAGAAGCUGUUGAGUGGCACAGGAUCGCGAAGGAGAAUUAAACUAGUACAGAUGCCAGGGUUGCAACUGCAAGCUUCAGGAUGGAUAGCUGUUGCUAUUAUGUUAGCAGCAGUCUAGUAUAUGCUUCCUCGAUAUCAAAUUAGUAUUUAUUUUAACUUUUUUAAUACAUAUGCACAUAGAUAUGUACUUAUAUUCCUGAAACGAAUAAUAAUUUAGUAGGAGGGAGUACUGAUUCGGUCGACGAUGGCAGGAUGCCCGAAAACAACUCGUGCUAAUAAUCAAUGAGUUGGGACGCUACAGAAAGGAUAGCUGUCCAAGCCUCCUUACACAAAAAACCCUAUACAACAAAUAAAAAACAGACAAGUCCUUAGAAUCUUAUGUGCUUGCCAAGAGCGCUGUCCCGCGCCCACCUCCGUCGUCGCCGAGGCCACCACCGGAGCAAGAAUAGGACGGCGAGUACACAAAAGCCAGAGGAAGCACCAUCGCACAAAGGCUUUGAUUCAAGCCGCAGUAGAAAGGAACCAUGGAGGGAGCAUCGCCCGGGGACACACCCCAUGCUUCCCUGACCAUGGACCUGCACCCAUCGCCGGCGAGCAGCAAGGCAAAGGUCCAUCCACCGCAUAACCUCAAACCCACCAGCCACCGGUCCCUGUAUCGAGCCACCCGCACCGCAACCAUACCUGGUCGAAAGCGCCGAGCAGCAGUCUCCUACACGGGAGCCACCAGGACCCAGAGAAUACCCACUGCUGGCGAGUACUCCAUAUCCCGACACCUCCGACCUCAAAAGCCCGUCACCGGCACCGGGGCACGAGCCGCUGAAGUGGAGGAAGGGCCAAAGGAAUUUAUUCCAUAAGGCCAGCGCCGUCUCCACCAUACGCACGCCGUCAGGAAAGACAAACCCCAGUUUCUUCACAUUGCAGAUGCCAUCGAAGGUGAAGCAUUCACCAUGGAAGACACCGGGUGACCACAAAUCCACUAUCUACCAAGAUUAGGAAGAAAUAUGGGUGCCCUGUUUGGUUACUCUUGCUAAAGUUUAGCAACUAAAACUAUCUAAACUUUAGGUGGUGUUUAGAUCCAAAGUUGAUGGGCUAAAGUUUAGCCCCUAAAUUUUAGUCCUUAUGGGGUGUUUGGAUGCAAGAGCUAAAAGUAGUCUUCCUUAGCUAAAGAUUGAUUUGCCCUCAUUUAUUGAUUCAAACAACAUUCAUGUCUCAAAUUCAUUUUUAUUGACUCCAUCCACAUGCACAUGCAUAUGCACAUGCACGCACAGUACCCCACUUCCUCUGGCCAUGCACAGGCACAUGCACGCCCAGGCCUUCCUCCGGCCAUGCACAGGUGCUGGCCAGGAACAGGCGCCGGCCAGGAGGAAUACGCUGUUGUUCCUCCUGGACAUUGAAUAGUUUUUAUUCGUACAAUUACAUCAUCGUUGAAACAUACAAUUCAAAUACUCUACGAUCAACUACAAGAAAUAAAAUACUCUACGAUCUAUUAUACAAACUUGAGGCUAUUUGAUCACGGAAUGCAUUCAUAUUUGUAUCUUCGUCCCUUGAUUGAGUAUUUUGCUGUGGGGGUUGAGAGGUUGAUGCUUCAUGAGGAACAUAGUUCUCAUCACGGUCACAACGAUCAAAGUCCUCAUCCUCCAUAUGACUCUCUCUAAUAAAGUUAUGAAGUGCCAUACAUGCAACAAUUAUCUAACUUUGCUUUGGCAUUGGAUAACUAGGCACUUUCAAUAAAAUCCGCCACUUCAUCUUAAGAACUCCAAAUGACCUCUCCACACAAUUCCUAAGAGAUGAAUGAGCAAAGUUAAAGGUCUCUUUCAUACCUUUGGGCAUCGGUCCCUGUCUGAACUCUGGAAGAUGGUACUUCGUUCCCUUGUAAGGUGCAAGGUAACCAGGCCGAUUGGGGUAUCCAGAGUCCACUAGGUAAAACUUCCCUGCAAAUACGAACAUUCUUGUUACAAACAAAAGCUACAACCGAAGUGGUUUACUUACUGAAUGUGCAAACAUAGGCAUAACAUACCAGGAGGGGGAUGUGGGAACAUGUCUUUGUACUUGUCUGUUGCAUCAUUGAAUACCCUCAUGUCAUGUACUGAACCAGGCUAGCCCGCAAGAACAAACGUGAACCUCAAGUCAAAGUCACAGACCGCAAGCACAUUCUGUGUAGUGAAGCCCUUUUGACAAAGAUGUUGCACCACCUUGUUACUUGGCACGACAACUGGUAUAUGAGUGCCAUCUAUUGCACCUAUACAAUUGUUGAAGUGUGAAAAAAAUCUAGGAUUCUGUAACCUACAGUGCAUUGUUCUAAAUUCAGGGUCGAGGGGCUUGAUUAUGUCAGCUGCUAGCUUUAUGAUACAAUUCAAAACUUUGUCAAAAUUACGAUGAACUGUUUCUAAUGAUCUCUCAAUCUGUUCUCAGCUUGUCUAACUGACUGAGGUGCACCAACCAUCCAAAGAAACAUUCCUAAGGCCUCUACUGAAGAGCUCUUUGAUGUGGACUUUAGGCCAUAAGAUUGCACCAAUAGAUCAUGCAGACGAUCAAACAAUUCUCUACUCAUUCUAAACAUGUUAUAGCAUUACACACUAUCUGCUAGAUUUCUCAUCACCCAAUCAUGACCACUUUCAACUGUCUUUCUCUUCUUACUUUUAUUAAAGUAGGUGUCAUGAUACAUACCAAACAGCAGCAGAUCCUCUAUGAAUUGCCUUUCAUAUUCACUGUCCUCCUCAGCAAUAAGCCUCAAGAUCUCAUCCUCACUUGAGUCACUGUCUACAUCCAUAUCCUGGACAUAAUAAAAAAAAUCAAUCAGUGAACCAUACAAAAAAUCAAUACAGUGACAUAAUUCAACCAGCACAAAGUGACAUAAUACAAUUUGCAAGCAGUGACAUAAUUCAAUCAGCACAAACAGGUCAAAUAAAUACAUUGCAUCACAAACAGCAUCACAAAUUUAUUUGAAAUGUUACUUGAAUUAGUACAGACAGUUUCCUUCAACACAAAAGCAUCACCACAAAGACAUAAUCCUAAUCUAGGUUGUGUUGCUUGCAAUAUCUUCUCAAGAAGGUCAGCCUUCCUUCAGUUGUGGAUAUGUUAAUGAAGAACUGCCUCAAGGAGUCAUUUAAGCAGAUCUGAGACACAGCAUAGUACUCAGAGCUAGUUUCAUCCACCCCACACUCCAAAGCCAACUUCUGAGCCUGCUUAAUGGUGCUGUCCAACAGAGCCAUCUUCUUGUCUUGUCUAUUACAGACAGCUUCCUUGAUGAACUGAUUCCUUUCAGCUUGCUGCUUAGAAGAGAAACUAAUAUAAUCCUUCAUCAUUUUGACCAUUGGGCUUUUGGUCUUCUUGUUUGGACUUGAAGCUGUUGUGCUGGUACUACUGGUUCUCUUGCGGCUGCUUGUACUCAUAGGACUGUGUGCAUACUCUGGAGGUAGAUCUUGCUCAGGCAUCUAUUGCUCAGGUUCUUCAUGCUCUUCAGGCUCCUCAAGCUCCUCUGGCUCUUCAGGUUCUUCAUCAUCUGCAUUGGUGUAUCCUGGCACAAAAGAGCUUGAACCAUCCACAACUACACCAUCAAAUAUACGCUCAAGCAGUGGUAGGUACUCAGGAGGCCCAUACAUUAGUUUCAUCCAUUCUGGAUGUUUCUGCACAUGUAGUAGUUGAAGUUAGUUUGCAAUCAGAUGGGUCCUUGCUAGCUGCACAUAUGAUAGAUCAACAAGUACCUUUGUUGCAGUCUCCCACCACUCCAAGGUUGCAGUAGGCCACCCAUUUUCAUCACGGCCUAAACCACUGUCGGAAUGGAUGUCUUUUAUGAACUGAUACAUUCCCUUGAGCUGCCUAAUCCUAUUAGAUAUCUGUUUCCUAUCAUGCCUCAGCCCUGAACCGCAGUAAUACUUUUCUAUGACAAGCUUAUACCCUCUUGCUGUCAUAGUCCCUUUAAUGUAGUUACCCAUUUCAAUUUGAUCAACAAGUAAUUGACACAACAGGUUGUUAUUCUGCUCUGAUGACCAACUUCCUCUAUCCAAUUUAUUCUACCAUAUGCAUCACAAGAGAAAUUACAUCAGAACUCAAAUACACAUGCAUAAUCUAUCUCAUAAGUAAUGUACUAAGGUCGCUGUAGUCUAGCAAAAAAUUGUAGCUACAAAUCCAUAUCCAUCACUUGUUAGCAUCUAAUUUGCAUAUAGCAAGUGUUCUGAAGCUGCUAAGGCAAGCUGAGGCAUGGUGACCACCCCCUUAUUCUUCCUCUGUAACCCCCCCUCUCUCUGUCUCUGUCACACACACACAUACAGCUUAUGCACAGGCGCUGGCAACCUCCUACGAAAUCACCUUCAAGUGGUGGCUAACAUGCAUCACAAGAACAAGCAUUUCAUAUUACUCUAACAACAAUAGGCCACCCAUUCACUUCUCUGAGAUCAAGGGUUUAGGACUCAUACCUGACGGCUUGGAAACACUUCUUCCACUUCGUUGUCUUCAAUGUCGUCGUCGUUGUUGCCCUGCCGUCCAACACGUCGACCACGGCCACGGCCUACUGAUGCACCAGCCGCCGCCGAGGAAGGUCCACGCAUACCACGACCGGCGGCGGCAACCGGUGGCAACCGACCGCGGCGGCCGCGACUGGACGGCGACCAUUCGCCGCGGCCUCCUACGGCUCCGCCACAGCUCCGAGCACUGCGUAAACCGAGUGUGCGAGAGGUACCUCUUCUGCCACCGCGCAGUUGAGAGUGAUGAGGCCCUGUGCUCUCCGACGCCGCCAGUGCGCCGGAUUGCAGGAUCCCCUGAUACGCCGCCAUCGACGACUAGUCGUUCGCCUGCGAGUUGAGGUCCAGUACCUCUAUGCCAAUACGGGGACCACUGACGGAUCCCAACCUCGGAUACUGGCUGCCGUCGCCGGGGAAGAGGUCGAAGUUGCUGGUGAAGAAGUCCCUGGUGCCGUUGUCGCCGAAUCCGUCCAUCGGCGGCGUGCGGAUGUAGGCGGUUGAGGUGCUCCGGCGACUGGUGUGGCGAAGGGAAGGGGACGAGAUGUAGAUCUGGUGAGAGGUGCAUCGGCGGUGAACUCAGCACAGAGGGGUGGCGCCGGCGAUGCGGGAGCGUGUUAGAGGCAGGGGAGGCGAAGGGAGUCGGGCGAUAGGGGCGGAUGCGGUGUAGAUCUGGUGAAAGUGGCGUCGAGAGGGGUGGCGGCGGCGAUGCGGGAGAGGGUGGUGGCGGCGGCGAUGUGAGAAGAAGGGGAGGCGGGGGGAAUCGGGCGAGACGGGCGGAGGCGGUGGAGAUCUGGCGAGCGGGGCGGAGCGAGGGGUGUGCGAGAGCUGGCGGCGGCCUGCGCGGAGGAGGGAGAUGUGGAUGAGGGCGACGGGCACGUGCGGAGGCGGAGGAGAUGGCGGCGGCGCCGUGGGGCCGAGCACAGAUGGCGGGGCCGGCGAGGCGGCGGCGGCGGGCGAAGGAGGCGGGGACGGGAGGAGCACGCGGGGAGGGAGGGAGAGAGUGCGGGGGAGGAGAGAGUGGCGGAUGAGGGCGACAGGCAGAUGCGGAGGCGGAGGAAGUGGCGGCGGCGCCGUGGGGCAGAGCAGAGGUGGCGGGGCCCACGACGCGGUGCCGGCGGCGGCGGGCGAAGGAGGCGGGGCCGGGAGGAGCACGCGGGGAGGGAGGGAGAGAGUGCGGGGGCGGAUAGAGGUGCGUAUGAGGGUGAGGGGCAGGUGCGGGGGAGGAUAGGGCGACGGGCAGGGGCGUGCCUAGGGUCGUGUGCGAGGGGAGGGGUAUGGAGUGUCCAUGUUCACUUUUAGCUCCUUUUAGGGCCUCUUUGGGGGGCUAAAUUUUAGCUAUUCUACACUUUCAGCCCACCUGUUUGGAUCCCAAGAGCUAAUUUUUGGGCUAAAAGUGCAGAGCUAAAAAUUAGCCCUUGGAUCCAAACAGGCCCUUAGUUGCUAAACUUUAGCAAAAGCUGUUUGGAUACUCUUGCUAAAAGACAUUUAAUGAGCUGUAAAAAGACCUAUAUACCCUUAUUAAAGGUGCGCAGGAGGGGGGAGAUAAGCAAUAAAUGAGGGUAUAGGUUGUCCAGCCCACCUUUUAGCAAGUUUUAGCAACCAAAAACUUGCUAAAGUGCUAAACUUUAGAACCUCAACUUUAACAAGUUUUAGGCCAUGUUUGGCAUGGCUCCAACUCUGGGUGGAGCUGCUCCACUCCUGAACUCCACAUGGAGCCAGCUCCGCUCCAAAACUCCAAAACAAAAAUGGGGUAUUUGGCUAGAUGGUGCUCUCAGCUCCAAAAAAGAUCGAUUUCAGUGUGGAUUGCCAUUGUUGCCCCCUAAUUAAGGCUCCACUUGUCAUCCUCUCUAUCCCAUCUUCUUCUUCCCCUUUUUCCACUGCACUGUGCUGCACACGGGAGACCCUCCACGGGCGGCGGGGUGGGUGGCGGGCUGGGCGGCGACGGGCGGCGGGGUGGGCGGCGGGCUCGACGACAGGCGGCGGGCGGCGACGGGCGACGACAGGCGGCGGGCGGCGACGGGCGACGGGCGACGGGUGCGGCGACAGGCGGCGACGGGCGACGGGUGCUGCGACGGGAGGCGGCGGGCGGCGACGGGCGGUGGGGUGGGCGGCGACGGGCGGCGAUGUGCGACGAUAGGCGGCGGGCGGCGGCGGGCGGCGACGGGCGACGACAGGCGGCGACGGGCGGCGGCGAGCGGCGGGCGCGGCGACGGGCGACGACAGGCGGCGGGCGGCGACGGGCGGUGGGUGCGGCGACGGGCGACGACGGGCGGCGACGGGCAGCGGGUGGCGGGCGGCGACGAGCGACGGGGGCGGCGACGGGCGGGGCUCUGGCGGCGAGUGGGGCUCGAGAGAAUAGAAGAGAGAAUAGAAUGAAACGUUUUUUUGUGUAACCAGUGGCAUUGGUGGGUAAUUACCCACCAACUCCACGAGGAGGUUCAAAAGAGAGGUUUCUGGAGCAGCAAAAGAGGUGCUCCAAAACUCCACCUCCAUUUGCACUACAGCUCCAUGAAGUUGGCAACUCCAUGAAGUUUUGGAGUUGGGGUGUUUGGCUGAAUUUUUUGAUGGAGUUGCUGGAGUUUAGGAGUGGAGCCGUGCCAAAUAGGGCCUUAGUAAGGGUGUUUGGCAGUUUAGCAGCUAAAAGUUGCUAAAUUUUAGCAACUAAAGUUUAGCAAGGUGGAACCAAACAGGUAUAUAGCUGUAAGAUUUGCUACCCUCCGGAGCUCCUGCCUGUUGCCUCGCGCCGCGUGUCCGUGGCUGCCUUUUUUUUACUCGCCGAUGAAGAUAAUGGAGGCUACUGUUACUGAUGACUUUACUGCCGCGGCGCGUGUAUCAUCAUGCGUCGUAACUCGGAUGAUUGCAUCGGCUCCACGCGGUGCGGAACGAAGGCUUACACGUCGUCCUUCACCGCGGAAGAAAUCGGCGCUGCCUCAUUACCUGGUUCUCCUCGCCGACGUCGCCUCCUCACCUCGCGUUUUGCGCUGUUGCCGGCCUCCUCCAACCUGCCGCUCCGACUCCAACCCGCAGCCGUUGUCCUUCGCCCACCGAGGUCGACCACUGCGAGCCCCUACACCACAUCCGCCCUUGGGAUGCCGGUGCAUCUCGGCAGCUCCGGCGGUGGCCUUUCUCGGCGUCGUCGUUCCUCUCCUUCUGCAAGCGUCCAUUCCCCUUCUCAAGAUUUUGCGUGCUAAGCCUUGGUUUAUUCUUCGAUUAUCUGAUCUCCACACCUUCCCCCUUUCAUAUUUAUCUUGGUUCCUCUGCUGUCACCCUUGUUCUUGGCUGAAUCUGCUCCAUUGCUUGGCGGCUAUUGGUUCCUAUGUGCAUGCUGCGUUGCGAUUUCGGCCGGUAGGGAACACCAUGGCAAUAGGGGGCACAUGCCAUGCCGCUUCCCAGGAUCUCCAACCUCUCUCCUCAAAUGGUGAGGCAAUGGAUUGAAAUUCUUCCCUGCUCUCUUUUUUCCCCAAACUGAACAGGAAAUCCUAACCCUACCUAGCCCUUGUUUAGUUCACCCCCAACUCCCAACUUUAGCACUAUGCAAAAAGAAGAUUCCCUAUCACAUCAAACUUGUGGUACAUGCAUGGAGUACUAAAUGUAGACGAAAUUAAAAACUAAUUGCACAGUUUUGUUGUACUUUGCGAGACGAAUCUUUUGAGCCUAAUUAGUCAAUAUUUGGAUAAUAAUCCACAAAUACAAACGAAACGAUACAGUGUGCUACAGUGCUGUAACAGUAAUUUGGCACCUCCAAACUUUGUCAACUAAACAAGGCCCUAUUUGUGUUAACAUCAAUUUCCUGCAGAUUUCUCAGGCAGGUGUGCUCGAGAAGCAAUUCCCAAUGAGGCUGGUGCAGCUGCAGGUAGAAAUACAUUUUUUUUAAAACGAACGAGACAGGUACUGUAGGAGAGCUGCGGUAGAAAGAAGAUUAUAUUAAAAAGAAGAUGAAGUUCAGAUCAGACGAAAAAAAAUGCAAACACCGACAGGUUGGAUUGGAUCAUCAACGUAUACCGCAUCAUGUCCUCACGCGUAACUCAACUGUACAACACAUCGGUCGGUUGGAUUGGGACAUCAACACACACCGAACUCAACUCCUCUCAACAACUCAACGACAGAACCGAAGCCUUACCGUAACCCUACCACCAUUCAAAUCCUCUCAACAACUCAACGACAGAACUGAAACCUUACCGUAACCCUACCACCAUACACACGGUCAAGAAAUCGUCGAAACCUCCCAGCGUAACCUAGUGUUGACGUUGAACCGAAAAGCAGACUGCAUCACACCGAGAAGGCCACCGCCGUGCAGGACCUUUUGCCGUAGUGACGCUGUAACAUCUUUCUCCACCCUGACAGGGCGAUAGCACUGAAUCCGGACCUCUCGCAGACUGCCUUGUAGUCGCCGCCACGAUAACGCAACGCGCAGGGGUUCGCCACAUUCGUCGUGGGACUCUGCCUCUCUCUCGUCACCUCGAAUAGACACCGCGCGCAGGGGCCUCGCCACGCCCGCUGCAGUACUCCACAUCAUGGAUCCAUUUUUUUUGUCACUGUCAGAGUGUUGAGUGAUGUUGCUCCGCUCCCCAAGAUCUCCAUUGAUCAGCCAAGCCGCUGCAGUGUGUCGACCUCGCCUCGUUGCUUCACCCUCACACAUAGCCUUCUUCGCCAUGUUAGUAAAUCAGAGAAGUCGCUUGCGACGUCUUCUGACGAUGUACCACACCGGAUAGCCCAGCCAAGCUGAGCAACCUGUCGUGGUCUGCUGCAAGCCUAGUCGUCCCACGCUACCGUUGCUGCAAGCGCCGUCCUCCGACAUAGUCUCACACCGCACUAACCGCUGCCAAGCAACGUCAGCCGCCGCAGUCUGCUGCGAGAAGCCCAAUCCGACAACCAUGCAACAACCCCUGGCCACCACCAAAACUUCGAACGCUUGCACAUGAGAUCGGCAACACCCAUUCAGCUCACCACGCGGCGGAGUUGCCGCCAUCGGCUGUGGCCUCCCAUGACAAAGGUUCAACAAUGCCACGAACCAAGUUGGGUCUUUAGAGACGACGCCUCCAAGGAGGGCACGACACUAAUGGUGCCGCCAUCGCUCGUCCAGGAUCUGGACAGAGUUUUCACCCAGAGAACCCCGUGCAAUAGGGUCGUAAUUCCAACAUGACGCCCCCAACAGGGAAGACGACGUCCUAGGGCGUCGCCGUCAUGUCGACCAGCACGAAGGCUGGUGAGGGCUUUCGCCUUAAGUAAUACAACCCCUCGCUGCACGUACAUGGUUCAGUACUCCCGGACCACCGCUACAGCAACCCAGUCGAGGCAAUGCCGCCGCCACGCCUCCACUCGCCAUGCCACCGUACCUCCACCUCCAUUUCCAUCGCCGCCCUCCAUCGCUUGCACCUCCCUGCCGACGCCGCGCGUCCGCUUGCCAUUCCAUCACCACAUGGCUUGCAGCGCGCUCCUCCUGGCUGCGCGCACUUCCCGGCCGCGCACCUCCCGGCUACGCGCUCCUCCUGGCCGUGCUCCUCCCGACCGCCACGCGCUCUCCCGGCCAUGCUCCUCUUGGCCGCCGCGCGCUCCUCCCGGCUGCCGCAUUUCUCUCUCGGCCGGCGCUCCUUCCUUUGCCCACGCCGGAUGCCCAACCUUCAUCCGCGCGCGACCGCCACCCACCGAGAAUCCGCUGGCAGCUGGGGUGCACCUGGAGGAUGACCUCGUCGGCGAUGCGCGUGAGGAAGACGUCCGCAGCGAACUGCCGCUCAUCAACAGCUUCAUGGCCGCAAGCCGCAGCUGCCGCCUGCUCCCCUUCUGCCGCCGCCUGGUCGCGCCGUGCCGGGAUGCGCUGUGGACGGUGGAUCCGGGGCGGAGAGGCCAGAUCCACCCACGGCAGGGCUGGAUCCGGGCUGCCACCCGGCACCUUGCGUCGUCCCGCCCCAGCAUCGUCCUCGAGGGUCACUGGCCUGCCCCGCCACCACCGUCCUCGGGAGCCGUCCGGGCUUCCGGCAACUCCUCCAGCGGCAGCGAGGUGGGCACGAGGGGCGGUGGGGGAGGCCUGACGGCGGCGAGAGGCGCCGCCCGUGUCGCUCGCGGGGAGGGCGAUGCGAGCCCAGCGGGAUGUACGAAUACAAUUUCCUUUCUACUGAAGCUAGUUUGCAAUAUCUGGCAAAUUUUGGUACGAUAUGUUUUUGCACUGUUGAGGUUAUGAAGUUUAGAGGACAUCCUUGCCAUAUGUUGAAUUGCAAUUCUUUUAAGUCUAAAGAAUAUAUCCCAUUUUUUGAUUUGCUAAUAUAUAUAACCAUAAUAUUGUUGCUUCUUGCCAUCACGGACUGAGGUCAAUGCGUAGGUUUUAAAAGUAAAGUCAACAUUGUGCCUAUUAAUAACUGGAAUGGAGAUCUAAAUAUAUUUAACUUGUGCAUAUUAGCAUUUGUAAGCACUUAAUGGAUCUGAGAACUCCUGUUGGGAGCUGAUACAAUACCUGCUCAGGCAUUUUCCUGAAGAAAUAUGAUUACUAAGCUUUGAUAUGCUAUUAUGUUCUAUUUUUUUUUCUACAGGGUCCUGUCUUUCCAUAUGUAGCAUACAAUCAAACAUGGAAGGUCUUCCAACAUACUAAGAGCUGCUGAAGGUGAUAAGUGAAUAUUCUGAAUAUGUUCCUUCUGGCUGCGAUGAUGUUUCUACCUCUACCAUCCAAGAACUAUUACCGAAUUUGGACCUUCAUAUCUGUCCUAAACAAAAGGUACAUGUAAGGUUUUUUCACAUUAAUGGUCCAAACAUUUUUCUUUGGUUUAGUGAUUCUGUUUUUACCACCUUUACUGUUAGACGUCCCUUCCCUUAAUUAUUGCUUCUACCCCCAUUCUCUUUGUUCAUUGUUCCAAUACUAUCAUGUGCCCCUCCACAUGGUAGCAGGGAAGCUAUUUUUAAUGUUUUCAUGCAACAUCAAACUGCAUUUCUGCAAAUAUUGCAGGAAGACAGAUUUUGCGUUAAUCACAUGUCACCAUUUUAAAUUGCCUACGUUGAAAAAUGUAUAAUAGUAAGUACUUAACAAUGACUAUACAGCUCUGCACUACCAAACGGUACUACUAAAAUUGUGCCUAGGAAACCACAUCUCAAAGAUGACUACAGAAUUAUAUGAACUCUCCUGUACAUUUUGUCGUGGUUCCUUUAGCUCUAUGAUGAUUCUUCCCGUUGUUAUCGAUAAGAUGCAUGCAAUAAGUACUAUAUUUGCUUCUGAGAUUACAUUAAUAUAAUCCACAAUUCUGGUUUCAUCCAGAACUAGCACUAUUUAUUGAAUGGUGCAAUAAUCAAUGCUGUUUUGAUUUCUGACAACUUUAAUUCUGCUAUCAUAUGCAGGUCAUCCGUCUGAAGAGGUUUGGUGAUUUAUGUAUGUCCUGCUUCAUUUUGCUUCUACCUUUCAGUUUCCAUUUUAAGAGGAGUGGUAGCCUAGCCCUGUCAGCUGUGUGCAUCUAUGUAACUAGCUCUUUGGCUAUUCUGUAUGAGGUUGUGUAUUGGUCGCUCUUUAAGGUAAAUCCCUUCUAUAUUUUGCAGCUGCAAACUUACAAGUAAAUUUUCAAGGUAGAUUGUUUCGCUAGAGUUUCAAAUCAAUGAAUUCAAGUCACCGACAGUAAGGGUAUCGCAUUAACUUUAUGCCUUACGCUCAUGUCAGUAUGUGCUGUGUGACUAGAGCCAAUAUCUGCGUGAACCUUUGCUGCAAUUUUGUCUACAUGGAUGUUAAGAAACAUAUUGUGAGGCGCCCUAAACGCAGCUGGCUAAGUGCCCAGCAUCAUUGUGAGUCAUAAACACUGAAAUUCAUACAACAUCAUGAAAAAUGGCACACGAAGCAGUUAACCGUUCGAUGAAUGCAGCAUCCACUUCCGCACCGAACCGGUCGCCGGAGGGGACGGGGAAUGGAAGAAAUCGGCGGUGGAAGCGACUCGCUCCCCUUUCGCCCUUUCUCAACUGCAGUAGCGGAAGGUAUGCAGCCCUUGGACUUGGACCCGCUGGAACGCAGCUUUCGUUUCGUUCUUUGCUUGCGUCCGCUCACGGCUCAGCCGGAAGCAGUUCUCCUUUGCUUUCUUGCCUUGCAUCUCUCGUCACUGCUUUGCUUGCAUCUGCAGUUCGGCACUGCACGGCGGCGCCCCUCCCUUGUCAAAAUCCAAAUGUCACCGGCUUCGGCUUCGGCUUCGGCUUCGGACUUCGCGGACACGAUCCAUGGCGGCGGUGCCUAAAUAAAACCUCUUAUGCCCAUCUGCCUAAAUAAAUCCCAUCACGGGCCAGAGGCCCAAGUCACCGAUCUCCCUCCGUCCCAUUUAGGCUGAUGGGCUAAAAACGUCUCAUUCUGGGCCCGUGAUAGGACUUAUUUAGGCUGAUGGGCCGAAAUAAGCCCCAUCAGUUCCGUCCCCAAGUCUCGCGUUCAGUUCCGUUCCGUCCCACUCCCUACCAUCACCAGUUCACCACCACCACGAUGACCGCGACCGCGAGCUUCGUCGGCGUCGGAGGCCGAGGGCUGCAGGUGCUCGCGAUCGCCUGGUGUUCGCGGCGGCACAUGCUCCCGCGACCUGAGUUCCUCCCGCUCGGUUUCGUGGGCCGCGCGCUGGAGCACGCCCGCGAGGCCGGCGCCGCUAUCACGACGACGGGGCUUCGAGCAGAUCUCGCUUGCGUCGCCGGCCCGCGGCUCCCCACCUGACCUCCGCCUUACAUGUCGCCGGGGCGGCCGAUGGACCCACGCUGCUCUUCCACUACGGGGCUUCGCCUUCGCUGCCAGCCUUCCACGGGCGGCACACCUAAGUACCUCACGACGGCCAACCCACGCUCCGUCCUCUUCUGGCAGCUGGUAAUUCUUUCUGCAUCAUGUCUUGUUCUAGCAGAAAAUUUUGUCUGGGCCAGAAGUGCAAUUUAAUUCAGCACACAUAUGCUUCUGGUUUCAUACAGAUUACGUAUCAGCCCUAAGCAUGUCGGGCUAAAACAGCGCCACUUGAUCUUCUGUUCUCUUUCUCCACACAAGUAUUCUUACUAGAACCUGAGGGCUGAGGCUGAUCUAGAUGGAUCACAAUUGCAGAACAGAGGCAGGAUAAUCAAGACAGCUUAACCGUACCACAAAUGCCUAUCCUUGACAUCUUCUAUUUUUUUACUCAGCAGUUCAAUCUGAUUAGAAAAUCUAAGCAGGCUCCACUGAGAUAGCACUAUACCGUGCCUGCCCCCACCUGAUGCUGCCAUUUUCUGACAAAUUCCUUUUAUUAUGAACGAUAGUUCGUCUAGACAAUGAAUUAAUCACCCGACUACUCACCUUUCUGAUCAAGUAUUUAUUGGCACCAGCUGCCAUAAAAAUGCAAAGAAGAAAAAGUUUAAUUAUUGAAAGAAAGUGAGUAGUCCCUCCUUAGAAUCUCUCAAAUGUGACUGGCAUAGAUAUGUAUCAAUGCCAUCACUUCAAAAAUAAGAAAGGGCUAAUUUGUAGACUUGUGGCUGAUGCAGCAGGUUUAGUAAGGAACCUUGUAUCACGUGCCUUGAAAUAUGCUAAUCUUCCACCCUAAUUUCUAGUCGACAAGGAAGAAAGGCAAACACUUGGCAUAUAUUGAACUAAAGAAACUAGCGUCUCUGACUCUAUGUAGAAAUACUGCACAGAAAGAGAAGCCAUCCAAAAGUUAACAUGCACUAACAAUUUGACGCUUCCUUGGAAGUAUUUAAUAGCAUGACCUCCUUUUUUCAUAGUCUGAAUGCGUACAAAGUGUCAAGUUUAAAGCUGCAUAUAACGUUUCUUAUUAUCUGACUUUCAAAUGCUGCAAAUGUAGUACAUACCACAAUCCUCUCACCUUUCCGUGGUCCUGGGUCUAAUUGUCUAUUCAACAGGUGGAAGCAACAGGCCCUGGGCCAUUAAUAAUGGACAGUGCCAUCGUGGAAACUUUUGUGUCUUCAUCGCCGCCGUGCAAUUGCAAAUGCAAUGGAUCAACAAGAAAAGGAAUUCCCUAUGACUGGUCAUUUAAGUAAGCUGUCUGCUAACCUCGCUUAAAUAGACCAAGAAGUCAUGGACUAAAUAAGAACUCAAAGAAAUCACUAUUCUUCCAUCUUCCCAUCACAAAGGUUUCAGAAUGGAAACAUUUGUUUCUGCAAUUCUUGGCGAUCUCCUCAGUCGAUCAAUAUCUUUCGUCAUCGACAGAUGCUACAGGCAGCAGAAGGGUGUGGAGGUCUACCUGCUGCAGCUGCGCCAUGUCCUGCUGCGCAUCAAGGCCACCGUGGAAGAGGCUGAGGGACGGCACAUCACAAACCAAGCGAUGCUCUGGCAGCUCCAGGUACUGAGAGAAAUGAUGUAUAAAGGCUGCUACCUGCUUGAUACCUUCACAUACCGGAUACUGCAGGAACAGGGGGAGAUUGAUCAGUGUGGUAGUCAAUCCUUUGCCUUAUCCAAAUUCAGUUCAGCCAAGCGCUUCUGCUUCUCUAACAGGAGGAUAGGCGCGAUAUUUCAAGGUCAUGGGGUGAAGGACGUUCAGAAGAUGCUAGGAAACAUGCAUAGCAUCAUCGACGAUAUGGCAGAGUUCAUUAUAUUCUUGAAAUCCUAUCCUCCCAUCAUUCGCGAGCCCUAUAGCAAGUACUUGUUUAUGGAGAAGUGCAUGUUUGGCCGCCAGGCAGAGAUGGAGAAGAUCAUCAGAUUCUUGUUGCAGCCAGAGCCUCCAGGCGCAAAUAGUUUGCAAGUACUUCCGAUAAUUGGUCCACCGAGAGUUGGCAAAAGCACCCUUGUUGAGCAUGUCUGUUACGAUGAGAGGGUGCACAAUCACUUUUCCUCAAUAAUUCUGUGCAGUGGAGACCCUAGUGCUCCAGAAGGCAGUGAUGUCGUCAAGAAGCAAAGUCAUGGCUCACAUGGAAGAUCACUUAUUGUCAUGGAGCUUGCUGAGGAUUUGGUUCUAGGCGACAGGCAAUGGAGAAAGCUGUACUCUUCAAGCCACAUGCCACUUGGAAGUAAGGUCAUUAUCACAAGCAGAACAGAGGAUAUCACGAAACUCGGUACAACGGGAGCUAUUAGACUGAAAUAUCUGACUCAAGAAGCUUACUGGUAUUUUUUCAAGGUAAUGGCCUUUGGAAGCACAGAUCCCGAGGUGGACCCGGAGCUAGCAUCAAUAGCAAUGGAAAUUGCAGCAGAGCUUGAUGGAUCUUUCUUGGGCGGAAAUGUCAUCAGUGGCAUUCUAAGAGCUAAUCAGCAUGCUCAAUUCUGGCGCAAGAUCCUUAAGUUGCAGAGAGAUUAUGUACAGUGGCAUCUCCUCCUCUUUGGUGAACAUCCACACACUCUUCUUCAGAAAAAACAGACUGCGUAUGUUUGGAGUCUGUCCAACAAUUCCUUGAGGCUCAAAGUUCUUUGUUUUCAAACACAUUCUCCUCUGAUUGAUGUUCCAAAGACAACGUUGUUUGAGUUCCAAGCAAGAAAUCCAGAAGUUCAUAGGGAGCUGGAAGUCCUGGUGUGGAAAUCUCGCAUACCCCCGUACCACAGCUACACUAUGAGGUGUGAGUUGGAGGCAUCACAAGACACGAUGGCUAAGAAGAAGCGACCUCACUCAACGGUGUGAUUCAGCUCACCUGCAAAUAAGAAUACAACCUCACUGUUCAAUUCAUCGGUGGCUUUCAUUGUUGGGAUCAAAAGCCAAAUAUGAACGUUAGUCUUUUUUGAAGUAGUCUUUUUUCCGUAACUUCCUAUCAAAUAGCAUGCACACUGUUAUUCCUACUUAUGCAGAUCAAUAUAUGUGUAAUCUUGCAUUUUGCUGGCUGUAGUCUGUACGCAGCAUUUUAUAACAUACAGUAGGUCACAAGACGCUCAUAAAAAAAAUAUAUUCAGCGGUCACCCAUGUGCUGUUCUACAAGGAACCGUUUAUUCUACACCAGUAGUUAUAUAGUGUGCUGAGAAUUGCUGAACAAAAUUUCAGUAAUAAAAUAACUACUGAUCGCGAAUUCGUGAUAGUUCGCGUCAGUCUGAUCAGUAACACAAUGGUGUAGUAUAAUAUUCCACAUCUAUAUUCGAUGCUCUUUUUUUUUAAUAAACUCAGCAAACAGAGCUGAACGAGGAAUAAAACAACAGAAGACAUGCUCAGUGGCGUAGUACAACUGCAUACUGCAGAUCAUUGUAGUCGAGAGACUAGAGAGUCUUCACAACUCAAUUCCCCACGCCUCUCUUUGCUUGACAAAAUUGCUUUGAACGUGUCACGACAUGCAGAUCAGAACUGUAAAUACCAUAUGAUGUCUAAUUCUGAUUUCGUACAAAACCAGAAAUUCAGAACCGCCGUCUCCAGAAAAGGAUUGUGCAUUUCCUUCUUUUUUACUCACUUAGUCCGAAUCUGUACGAAGUCAAAGACUGCAUAUCACGUGCCUUCAUAUUUUGAAAGUUGACUACUGCUGAUGUAAAGUACAUCGGAUGCAAGUGCAAAAAUCUUCUCACCUUCCAAUGGUCCUUGGUCUAAUUGUCUAUUCAGCAGCUGGAAGAAACAGGCACUGGACGGUCAAUAAUGGAGAGUACCAUCGUGGAAAUGCUUGCGUCUUCAUAGCCGCCGUGCAAAUGCAACGCGUUAACAACGAAGGGAACUUCUCGUGAGCUGUUCUUGUAAGUAAGCUGCCUGCCAAUCUCAGCUUAUAUGGUUGAACUGGUCAUUUAACCAUAUAAGCUGAGAUCGUCUGAACAACCCAUCAUCCCAUCACAAAGGUUCACAAUGGAAACGUUUGUUUCAGCAGUUCUCGGAGAUCUCCUCAGUCGAACGGUAUCCUUCAUCAUUGACAGAUGCUACAGGCAACAUAUGGGUGUGGAGGAGUACUUGCCAUGGCUGCGCCGUGUCCUGCUGCGAAUCCAGGCCACUGUGGAGGAUGCCGACGGGCGGCAUAUCACAAACGAAGCUAUGCUCCGGCAGCUCCAGAUGCUGAGAGAAGCGAUGUACAAAGGCUUCUACCUGCUUGAUGCUUUCACGUAUCGGAUGCUUCAGCAACAGAGGGACAACGACGAUCAGGUUGGUGAUCACCCCUUGUCCAUAUUUUGUCCAGUCAAGCGCUUGUGCUUCUCUGCCAGGAGGAUGAACAUGGUAUUUCAAGGUGAUGGGGUAAAGGAGGUUCAGGAGACGCUAGGAAACCUGCAUAACAUCAUCCACGAUAUGGCAGAGUUCACCGUCUUCUUGAAAUGCUAUCCUCACAUCAGCCGUGAGCCUUACAACAAGUACUUGUUUCUGGAGAAGUGCAUGUUUGGCCGCCAAGCAGAGAUGGACAAGAUCAUGGGCUUCUUGUUAAAGCCAGAGCCUCCAGGAGCUCAGGGUUUGCAAGUGCUUCCUAUAAUUGGUCAGCCAAGAGUUGGGAAAAGCACUCUCGUUGAGCAUGUCUGUUACGAUGAGAGGGUGCACAAUCACUUCUCUUCGAUAAUUCUAUACAGUGGUGAUCCUACUGCUGCUCCAGAAGGUAGUGGUGUAGUGAAGAAGCAAACUGAUGGAUCAAAUGGAAGGUCACUUGUUGUCAUGGAGCUUCCUGAUGGUUUGGCUAUAGAGGAGAGGCAAUUCAGAAAGUUAUAUUCUUCAAGAAGCCACAUGCCACCUGGAAGUAAAGUAAUUAUCACAAGCAGAUCAGAGAAUAUCAUGAAACUUGGAACUACUGGAGCUAUUACACUGAAUUUUCUGUCUCAAGAAGCUUACUGGUACUUCUUCAAGGUGAUGGCUUUUGGAAGCACAGAUCCUGAUGAGCACCCAGAGUUAGCAUCGAUAGCAAUGGACAUUGCAGCAGGGCUAGAAGGAUCUUUCUUGGCCGCAAAUGUCAUCUGUGGCUUUCUGAGAGCUAAUAUGCACAAUAGAUUUUGGCGCAAGAUCCUCGAAUUGGAGAGAAACUGUUUAGAGAAGAACAUCCUCCUUUUUGGCAAACGUCCACAGACUCUUCUUCGGAAAAACCAAAUUGCAUAUGUUUGGAGCCUGUCCAACACUUCCUCCAUUUGGGUCAAAGUUCUUUUAUAUGAAACACAUUCUCCUGCAAAUGAAGUUCCAAAGACAAUGUUGCAUGACGUCCAAAUCCAAACUAUAAGUGCAAAAGCAUACAGGAAGCUGGAUGUCCUGGUGUGGAGAUCUCGCAUACCCCCAUACCAUAACUACACUAUGAGGUGUGAGAUAGAGGCAGCACAAGAGAUGAUGUCCAAGAAGAAGCGGCCUCACUCCAUGGUGUAAUUCAGGUCAUCUGCAAAUGAGCACACAACCUCAGUUUGUUGCUAUUCACUUCAUUGGCAGGUUUUAUUAUUGCAAUCAAAUUUGAAUGGUGAUAUGCAUAAUAGGAUCUAUCUGUUCCUUGCAAUGAGCUCUUUUUUCUUAUUUUAUAUCAAAUAGGUUACGCACUCUGCUAAUCCUUUGCAGUUUGUAGUUCAGUUUAUGUGCAUUUGUCCUCUGUACGCAGCAGUUUGUAACCUGGGCGACAAGACUCUCAUAGGAAACUACAACUCAUGAGAAAAUACAAUCAUAUUCAGUGACUUAUGUGCAGUGCAGAAAUGCAUGAUCUGACCUCGGAAUAUACAGAGACUAUGAUGGCUUGUUUCGUUUCGUUUAACUUCCUGUGAAAUUCCUGCUUUCCAAAUGCAGCAUUAGUUUGGCCCAGUAGAAAACAUAUAGUAAUCACAGAGAAACUCGCAGGAAUCUACCCAGCCCUCGUGUAAGAAUUAGUCAACAAUUGGAGGCAACAAAGGACUGGUCCAUUAAUACAUCAUGGUGGAAAAUGUUGCGUCUAGAUAAUGUGUGAACAUGACGACUCCUUGCAGCUUAUCUUACAGCAUUUAGGUAGCUCGCCUGGCAGUUAGAGGCCAGAGAUGAACUGAAAACAGGAACUCAAAUCAAACAUCGUAAUGGAAACGUUCAUUUCUGCAAUCCUUGGUGAUCUUUUCAGCAGAUCAGUAUCUUUUGUCCUCAACAAUUACCAUCUACGGCGGCAGAAGGGCGUCAAGGACAACCUGCAAGCGCUGCGCUGCGUGUUGCUGCGCAUCCAGGCCACCGCGGAGGAGGCUGAGGGGCGGCACAUCACCAACCAGGCCAUGCUCCAUCAGCUCCAGAUGCUGAGAGAAGCCAUGAACAAAGGCUGCUACCUGCUUGAUAAUUUCACAUACCGGAUGCUGCAGCAGGAGAGUUCCAAUGUUCAGGUUAGCGACCACCCCUUUCCCCUGUCCAAAUUCAAUCCAGCAAAGGGCCUGCGCUUCUCUACCAGGAGGAUGAUCGUUGCAUUUCAAGGUGAUGGGGCGAAGGAGGUUCAGAAGAUGCUAGGAAGCUUGCAUAGCAUAAUCAGCGAUAUGGCAGAGUUCAUCAUCUUCUUGAAAUCAUAUCCUCCCAUAAGCCGUGAGCCUUAUAGCAAGCACUUGUUUCUGGAGAACUGCAUGUUUGGCCGCCAGACAGAGCUGGAGAAGAUCAUCAGUUUCUUGUUGCAGCCAGAGCCUCCAGGCACAGAAAGAUUGCAAGUGUUACCCGUAACUGGUCCACCGAGAGUUGGUAAAAGCACCCUUGUUGAACAUGUAUGUUAUGAUGAGAGGGUGCGCAAUCACUUUUCCACAAUUAUUCUAUGUAGAGAUCCUACUGCUCCAGAAGGCAGUGGUGUGGUCAAGAAGCAAAGUCAUAGUUUACAUGGAAGAUCACUAAUUGUCAUGGAGCUUGCUGAUGAUUUGGUUGUAGAUGAAAGGCAAUGCAGAAACUUCUACUCUUCAAGAAACCACAUGUCACCUGGAAGUAAAGUUAUUGUGACAAGCAGAUCAGAGAAUAUAAUGAAACUUGGUACUACAGCAGCUCUUAAGUUGGAUUUUUUAUCUCAGGAAGCUUACUGGUACUUCUUCAAAGUGAUGGCUUUUGGAAGCACAAAUCCUGAUGACCACCCAGCGCUAGCAUCAAUAGCUAUGGAAAUUGCAGCAGGGCUUCAAGGAGGUUUCUUGGGUGCACAUGCCAUCUGCGGCUUUCUAAGAGCUAAUAUCCACAAUUGGUUUUGGAACAUGAUCCUUGAAUGUCAGAGAAACAAUAUAGAGAGGAAUAUCCUCAUCUUUGGUGAACAUCCACAGUCUCUUCUUUGGAAGAGCCAGAUUGCAUAUGUUUGGACUCUGUCCAACAUUUCCGUGAGGGUCAAAGUUCUUCAUUUUCAAACACGUUCCCCUCUGAAUGAUGUUCCGAAAAUAAGGUUGCAUGAAGUCCACACAAGUGCAAAAGCUCAUGGGAAGCUGGACGUCCUGGUGUGGAAAUCGGGCAUACCCCCAUAUCACAGCUACAUUAUGAAGUGUGAGAUUGAGGCACCAGAAGACAUGAUGGUCAAGAAGAAGCGCCCUCCUUCUUAUCUGCAAAUAUGAACAUUUCCUUGAUGUUGAAUUCAUUGGCUGUUUUCAUCGUUGAGAUCAAAUAUCAAAUGUGAAGGGUGACGUUCAAAUACACCACUAGUGAACAAAUCUAUCUGUUUCUUACAGUGAUCUCUUCUCCAUAUUUUUUCUAUAAAUUAAAGUGCAAGCUCUGCUCUUGUAAAUGCUUUGUUGUUGAGUUGUUGUAAAAUGCAAGCUCUGACAUUCCUUUGUAGUUAGUACAUAUCAUUCAGCCUGUGUGCAGACAUACUUUAUAUUUCCUGUACCCAGUAGUUUGUAAUCAGGGUGACAAGACUCUGACUGGUGGAGAAUAUCAUUAUAUUCACACAUAUUUAAAAAACUCGAACCUGAACCUGCUGUAUGCUAUUCAUGUGCUCUAACCAUUGGACUAGAUAUCUUUUUGCCGCUCCUUAUUUUGUGGACGGAGGUAGUAGAAAUGUACGAUAUGAUCUCAAAAUAUAUAUAAAAAAGGCAUUGUGGGAUUGUUUAUAUUCACUAAGGUCUGUAUUACUGCCUGCAGAAUUUCUGCUUUCCAAACAUGGCCUUCAUUUGGCCCACUAGAAACUAUAUAAUGUUCUAUCUUCCCUGCUCACAUUGUCAUAACUCAGAGCAAAUCGCCCCUAAGCUACAACACUCGUUCCUUCAUUCAUCAUUUUAUUCAUUAACGCAUAUCAAAUUUUUAAAUUUACUCUAGAAUUCUGGAUCUUUAAUUGGACAAUGGAAAAAGGGAAAAACUGUUUUAUUUAAUAUAUGCAUAAAAAAUCACAAUAAAAAAGAUAGGUGGAAUGCACCUGCGGUAGUCACUCUGGUUAUUUACAUUUUGUUCACCCUCUAUUUAACAAAACAACAUACUGUUCACCAGGGGAAUCAUAUCUAAAUUCUAAUGGUCCAAUCCAUGUGCACACCACUUGCCACAUCUCAAGUAAAAUUGCGACUAAGCUAUAGCACUCUGCAUUCGUUGGUUUAUUUAUUUAUGGUUUGUAUCUGGUAGAAAAUAUUAUAACAUCCCAAAGGUAAAGGUAUGAAACUGGAUUAGCUUAUCUGCACAUCCAAUAAACUCUAGAAUUUGGAUAUGUAAUUCAACAAUGGGAAAUAAGAACACUAUUUCCUUUAAUCUUUGUAAAAAGAAAAUUCAAUAAGAAUGACCAACCAAGCACAAAACCGGAGAAUCGUAAUCUUCUGUACCGUACCAGCAGUUUUCCAUAACAAUUCCCAUUUUCCUUUAAGACUUUUUUGGUUAUGUACUUUGCAUGACAUUAGACCAAAGAACCAUCUUUUCUAGACCGAACACUGAAUCUGUCUAACUAUCUACAGCUUGCUGUUGUCUAGUCAAUUUUGAGAAAGCCCAUUGCUUCGUCCCAACCUUCAAAGUCUCAACGACAACACUACAGGUCUACAGCAGAUGGCUGCUACGCUCAGUCACAACUCACAACGCGUUCAACCUAAUCAGCAUAUGCGUUCGACCAGAAUUAAUCGAAACCUGCAACAUUUGGGCCGCAACACUGAAUCUAACUAUCUACAUCGAAGCACUGAGAUACAACAUGCUCAAAGAAGGAUGGGAUUAACAGCUUACCAUGGCAUCGGCGGCAGAGGGCAGGCGUGCCGUGGGAGGGCGCGCGCGCAGCGGUCAGGAUCUCUGCGUGCUGCGGCAUCCACUGAUGCCGUCGCCCUCGUGGGCAUCCGCGGGACAUGACGGAUCGGGAAUAGGUUGGGAGCUUGACUGGGAAGCAGACAACGAGUCAGAAAAUCAGGGCAACCGUCGCGGGAGACAUGGGCCUUCGAUGGGCCGAUGUGGUCCGAUCAGCCGAAUGCAUCCAUGCACGGAAAUCCUAUGCAUCUUCCGCAACAUAGCCCCCUCAAAAAAAUAAAAAUAAAAUAAAAUCUUCCGCAACAUAAAAACUUAUGGAUCUACGAGCGUUUGAGAUUCGUGUUGCAAGUGUGGUCGGAUGGAUUCACGCAGAGAAGCGCCAAGCAUGUACUCAUGCAACAGGCACGGCAUGUGCACACACGUGGUGGGCAACUGUUGGUUGCCAAAUGGGUGGCAGGUGGGCAGCGUUACUUCAAUUUCAAGAUUAGUUAUUUAUCUCUUAAACAGCUUAUCAUUUGUCGAAUCAGUCUGAACCACGAGAUUAUUUAGAAUUAAUGUAACAAAAUGAGGUCUGCAUAUUUUUUAAUGAAAAAUAAAUAUUUCAACAUUUGCAUGAACCAUUUCAACAUUUACAUUGACUGUUUCAACAUUUUUAUGUUGUUUAAACAUUUUUUCUAUAUCACCUUAACAUUUAAUUUUUUAUAUUGUUUCAACAUUUUUUCUAUAUCACCUCAGCAUUUACAUAAAAAUGUUGAAACAUUUUUUUUUCAAAAACGUUGAAUUUGAUCUUAAGAAAUGUUGAAUAUGAUAUUUUCCAGCAUUUUUCAUAAAUGCUAUUUGCAUGAACCAUUUCAACAUUUACACUAACUGUUUCAACAUUUUUAUUUUGUUUAAAUAUUUUUUCUAUAUUACCUUAACAUUUAGUUUUCUAUAUUGUUUCAACAAUUUUUUCUAUAUCACCUCAACAUUACAUAAAAAUGUUGAAUUUUUUUUCAAAAUUGUUGAAUUAGAUCUUAAGAAAUGUUGAAUAUGAUAUUUUCCAACAUUUUUCAUAAAUAUUGUUUGCAUGAACCAUUUCAACAUUUAGACUAAUUGUUUCAACAUUUUUAUAUUUCAACAUUUUUUUAUAUUACCUCAACAUUUAACUUUUUAUAUUGUUUCGACAUUUUUUCCAUAUUACCUCAACAUUUAAUGUUGAAACAGUUUUUUGCAAAGAUGUUGAAUUAGAUCGAAUAUGAUAUUUUUCAACAUUUUUCACAAAUGUUGAGGUAGUUUUUCUAAUUUUUGAACGGUGUUUCAAGAAUCGUUGAAUCUAAUUAUUCAAAAUGUUGAAAGCAUGAAAGUACAAAAUAGUAACUUAUAAUCACAAAGAUUAAAACAAAUAGGAUAAAACGAGCGGAAGAAUGUUGUUGUAGUGGUCCAUUCGUACUUCGUAGUAGAUACAGAUUAAAAAAGUGAGGACAGCAUAUUUAAUACUUGCUGCGCGUGGCAAGCUACUGCCUCCGGUGGUUCUCGCGCUAGUUUUCCACGAAAAAAAAAAGUAGAGGGCCGUCCUUGACGCAGAGUAUUAGGCCGUGGUGGGCUGUGCGACAAUUAGCUUACCCAUCUUCCGGAGAUAGGAGCGCCCAUCACUUUUUUCAGCUAGAAAAACAACAAUUCCCAUUUUUAUCCGCACUUAUACAUCAUGCUUCAUUUUGGAAUAUGAACGAUAUAUGGUGCCAAACAUCGUAACGUUUCCCAUGAUUAAUCAUGUUUUCUCUUUAAAAGGGAGAUCAGGAGAAAUGAUCCUCUCACGUUACAUUCGCUGGUCCCUCAUACAAAAAUUCCAGUAAACAACUUAACAUAAUUUAUCUUUUUUUCUCUCCAUGCACCAGUGGAGUUUUGAGUUCAAAUUUUGCAAGAUGAUAGUAGACAACAAAAUACAUGUUAAAAAAAUAUAUCAUGAACUUUUUCAUCACUAUUUUGAUAGGAUAGGAUAUUUAAUAAUAAAAUUUAUCUUUGAGAUACAAAAAUAUAUAAAAAAUAAUGAUGAAAAUUCAUAAAAUAUUUUUUAAUAUAGAUUAUGAUGUCACCAGUCUACAAAGUUUCAAAUUAAAAUUCAACUUGUGUAUGGAGAAACAAAAAUGACAAAUUGCAUUAUGGGGUAAGUUGAACCAAAUAGCAUAGUUUAGGGAGUAAAUUGAACAAAAUAUAGUUUCGGGGGUUAUCUGGACUUUCAUUGUUUUUUUUUAAACGAACCUGGCAGGAGAGUUGCCGAUUAUAUUAAAAAGAAGGAAUCCAGACUGGAUAAAUACAAUGGAUCAAAAAUGAAAUGAGGCAAAAUUGAGCCAGGAAAAUAAAACAACACUAUAAACUCAGUCGCAAUCAGCAUCGCGUCAGUAGAGCGGAGAGAUGUUUCGCUCCCGCCAUAAUCCACACGGUGGACUUUCAUUGUUUGUACUGAAAGCGAGUAAUUUGGACUUUUUCAAAAAAAAAAGAACAGUGCCACAGUGGAAGAAAUUUCUGCUCUACAUAGCAGCUGGGCAAGCGCACUCCGUCAUCUAAGAAAAAUGGGUGCAGUGCGUCAACAGCCUUGUAGCUAGUCUUGCAGCAAAGCAGCCUGUGUGACUGCCUCAGCUCAUAUAAGUAGCGAUCAACAAUGAACUCGAUCAAGAACUCAUAUCGAUCAAACAUCCUUCAAUCCUCCGUUGCAGAAGUUUCCUAAUGGAGACAUUCGUUUCUGCAGUUCUUGGCGAUCUCAUCAAGUCAUCAGCAGAUCAGUAUCCUUCAUCGACAGGCGCAACCGGCGGCAGAAGGAUGUGGCGGAGAACCUACUGCAGCUGAACCGCGUCCUGCAACGGGUACAGGUCACAGUUGAGGAGUCCGAGGGGAGGCACAUCAGUAACCAAGCGAUGCUGCAGCAACUUCAGAUGUUGAGAGUGACGAUGUGCGAAGGCAGCUACCUACUGGAUACUCCUGGGUUGCGUUCUAAAUUGAAAGUCAUUCCAAUUUUCAGAGAGUCAAAUUAUUUUAUGUUAAACAUUUAUAGCACCGAAUUGAAUAGAUAUACUUUACGGUACUUAUUUGGUAUCAUGAAUGUUAAUACUGUUAUGAACGACGUAUAGGAAUAUGAAGUAAAGAAUCAAGCCACAGAGGAGACACACGAUUUAACGUGGAAAACUCCUUCGAUGUGAAGGGGAAAAACCACGGGCACCAGCCAGCAACAAUCUCACUAUCUCAAAAGUUUCGAGUUACACGCCUAUGGUGGCUUACAAGAGAAUCAAGUCUCCACGAAACCCUAGCAAGGGUGUAUAUGCCGUACCGUACCGCGGGGGGCUCCGCCCCCCGCACCCCCCCCCCCCCCCCCGAGCACAGACUACGCUACGGCCCAAGCCUCCGGCGACGGACCUCCACUCCGUCAGAAGCCCGCCCUAUAUCCUGGAGUGAAUUUGGAACAACUCUAAUAAAUACUUUAUUGUAUAUAAAUUUGGUCAAACUUAAGAUGCUUUAACUUUCCAAGAAAGUUAGAAUUACUUAGAACGAGAGUACUUUUAUGUACCGGAUGCUGCAGCAACAUAGAAGCAGUGAUCGUACCUUUUCCCUGUCCACAUUGAGUCCAGCCAAGCGCUUGCGCUUCUCUACCAGGAGGAACAACGUUAAAGUCAUAAUUGUGAUUCAUAUAUUUGUUAUGCCAAAAAAAAUUUGUUUUGAGGAACACAUAAUUGUGAUUCAUAUAUUUGCUAUGCCAAAAAACAAUUUAUUUUGAGGAACACAUAAUUGUGGUAUUAUUAUUCGUGAUAUCUUAAAUUCUAAAUCGUUCUCACACAUAUCAUAAAGUCAUAUUUGUGUUACCUCCAAUUCAGAAUACUUGUUAUUUUAUAAAGAGAUAAUCAAAAUAACCAUCUUAUCUUCAAUUAAUAUUAUCUAAAGUAUGUAUUUAUGUGAGAAUAAUUAGUUAAUGGUGUAAUUAGAAAAAAACUGAAAACAAGUUGAUUAAAGUUUUCUAGAAGUUGUAGAAUAACAAGUGUUUUAAAGACAAUAAAGAAGGCUAAAACAACAAGAAUCAGAGGAGGUACGUGCCUGCCUUUUCUAUUCUUAGUCCGAACUUAUUCAAGUAGAAACUGCAUAGCACAUGCCUUCUCAUUGACUAAUCGUCUAAUUAAUUCACACGGCAACAACUGAAAGAAACAUGCUUGGAAAUUCAUAGAUGACAGUGCCAUCGUGGAAACAGUUGCUUCUAGAUAUCUGCCAUGCAUACCAAAUGCAACAAGUGAACAACAAAGGGAACUUAGAGUCCCUGAUCUUGCAGCACUUCAACUUGUCUGCCAAUCUCAGCUUAGAAACCAGCGACGGACGGGCUAGACAAGAACUCAAACCAAAUCACCGUUCUUCGAUCUUCCCCUCCUAAAGGUUCACAAUGGAAAAAUUCGUUUCCGCUGUUCUCGGCGAUCUCGUCAGUCGAUCGGUCUCCUUCGUUGUCAACACCUGCUACCGUCAGAAGGGUGUGGAGGAGUACCUACCACGGCUGCGCGGGGUGCUGCUGCAAAUCCAGGCCACCGUGGAGGAAGCCGAGGGCAGGCACAUCACGAACCAAGCGAUGCUCCGGCAGCUCCAGAUGCUAAGAGAAGCCAUGUACAAAGGCUGCUAUCUUCUUGAUAAUUUCACAUACCGGAUGCUGCAUCAAAAGAGGAACAAUGAUCAGGUUAGUGGCCACCCCUUCGCCUUGUCAAUACAUAGUCCAGCCAAGCGCUUGUGCUCCUCUACCAGGAGGAUGGGAGUGGAAUUUCAAGGCGAUGGGUUGGAGGAGCUGCAGGAGAUGCUACGAAGCCUGCAUAGCAUCAUGGAUGAUAUGUCAGAGUUCAUCAUAUUCUUGAAAUCCUAUCCUCACAUCAGCCGUGAGCCUUACAGCGAGUACUUGUUCAUGGAGAAGUGCAUGUUUGGCCGCCAAGCAGAGAUGGACAAGAUCAUGGGCUUCUUGUUAAAGCCAGAGCCUCCAGGAGCUCAGGGUUUGCAAGUGCUUCCUAUUAUUGGCCCACCAAGAGUUGGGAAAAGCACUCUCGUUGAGCAUGUCUGUUAUGAUGAGAGGGUGCGCAACCACUUCUCUUCGAUCAUUCUAUGCAGUGGAGAUCCUACUGCUGCUCCAAAAGGCAUGAGUGGUAUAGUGAAGAAGCAAACCCAUGGUUCACAUGGAAGGUCACUUGUUGUCAUGGAGCUUGCUGAUGGGUUAGUUAUAGAUGAGAGGGAAUGCAGAAAGUUAUACUCUUCAGCGAGCCACAUGCCACCAGGAAGUAAAGUUAUUGUCACAAGUAGAUCAGACAAUAUCUUAAAACUUGGAACUACGGGAGCUAUUAGAUUGGAUUUUUUGUCUCAGGAAGCCUACUGGUAUUUCUUCAAGGUGAUAGCUUUUGGAAGCACAAACCCUGAUGACCAUCCGGAGCUAGCAUCAAUAGCUAUGGAAAUCGCAGAAGAGCUAGAUAGGUCUUUCUUGAGCGCAAACCUUUAUGGUGGAUUUCUGAGAGGUAACAUGGACAGCCGGUUUUGGCGCAGAAUCCUUGAAUUGGAGAGAACCCAUGUAGAAAGGAGUAUCAUCCACUUUGGUGAACGCCCACAGACUCUUCUUCGGAAAAACCAGGCUGCAUAUGUUUGGAGUCUGCCCAACAUUUCCAUGAGGCUCAAAGUUCUUUAUUGUCAAAAAAAUUGUCUUCAGAGCGAAGUUCCAAAGACAAAGUUGCACGAAGUCCAAACUAGAAGCGCAGAAUCCUAUGGGAGACUGGAAGUGCUGGUGUGGAAAUCACGCAUACCCCCGUACCACAGCUGCACAAUGAUCUGUGAGAUGGAGGCACCCCCACACAUGAUGGGCAAGAAGAAGCGGUCUCGCUCCAUGGUGUGAUUCUGUUCAUGUCCAGAUAAAAACUCAUCCUUGUUGUUCCAUCCAUUGGCAUCUUGCGUCGUUGCGAUGAAAUGGUGUGAAAGGCGAUAUGCAAAUAUAUAUCCCAAGAGUGAUCAAAUAUAUCUUUUUCUUACAGCGAGCUGUUUUCUGUAUUUUCUAUCAAAUAGCAUGGAUGUCUGUUAUUCCUUUGAUAGUUCAGGGUCUAUGCGUAAACAUGCAUUUUGCCCUCUGUACACAACAGUUUGCAAUCUAGGUAACAAGGAUCAUAGGGGGAAGAUCAGUAUAUUCAAGUGACCGCUGAAGUGCAGUGCACAAAUGCAUGAUUCGACCUCCAAAAAUACCAACAAAGUGCAUUGAAGGCUUGUUUUGGGAAAAAAAAUCAUGGUUACCAAAUACGGCCUUAAUUUCUUCCAGCAGAAUCUGUCUAAUAUGUAUCUUCCACGCUUUGAACUUCUCAUAAACCGAGUGCCAACAGGCCCCCUAAAGCUUCAGCACUCAGUCCUGCCAUUAUUCAUCAUUUUGUUCAUUAUUGGCUUGCAUCUGGUAUGAAUUGUUCUAGUAGUCUAAUUUACUCUAGUAUCUGCAAGUAGAGAUUAGCUUUAUUCUAGAAUCCAGGAACUCUUUAUAUACUGGAGGCAGUUGCAGUACAAGCCUAGCUAGCAAUCUUUCUUAUAUAUCUUAAACAGAGGAGCUGGAGAUGCUAUCCUCCAAGUGGACGUUCUUUACUGGAUCCAUCAUUCUUCCUCUCUUCUUCUUCCAAUAUGUUUCUCCAUGGUGUUCAUGGCCGUGAAAACUGAGAAGCUCCUAUUCCUGCCGCUUGCACCUGUACCUGACAGAUGUCCCACCAUCUGCAAUGAGUCCAUCUUUUCACUCCCUCGCCACCAACAGCAUCCGCUAGCGAUCCACCACCAUUAGUGUCCAUCAGCAUACUGCCGUCUCACCACAUCACUCACUCCCGUGCCCGCUCCUUCCGCUGGGUAUGCCCGCCUCUUAGAAGGCGAACAAGUUGCUACAGUACUUACCAUGGAAAUACAAUCCACAAUAGAAGUAUGAAUAGAAUUAUACUUAUACCGUGGCCUUCAGUAAAUCGUCCAUGGGACAUCUGAAAAAUAUAUCAAGGGGCAAAUAUGUACUACCUCCCAUGAACCAUGAAUAAAAGGGUAGACCCCCAAUCAUUCAAACAAUCUCGCUUUCAUGUCUUCCCAGUUCCCACUCUCACGGCUCCUCCACUUCAAGCUUGACUUCUCCACACAGAGCUCGCGCCGCACACUGUUUGGGUAAGGAAUUUCUUACCCCAACAGCUAGAGCUUUUUUCUUCCUGAACCGAACGUUUGAACUGGCUCCGGCUGUAUCAUCAUUAUCUUGCUAGUCGCUACUCCCUCCGUUUCAAAUUGUAGGUCGUUUUAGUUUUCUAGAUUCAUAGAUAUUUGUAUGCACAUAUAUUAUAUUUAGGUGUAUAAUAAAAACUAUGCAUCUAAAAUCUAAAAAAGCCAUGACGAUCCAUAAUUUGAGACGGAGGAAGUACUUUCCAAACGUCCGAGUUCAAGACACGUGUUCAUGUGACUUGGUGCUUGGAAUCCCAGUUGCAUUUUGGAUGUUGCCUAACGAAAAUACAGACAAGCCUUCAAUUUCAAAGUCACCGAGUCCAUGCUUCAACUUUUGCAAGUUCUCGAAGCAAGCAGAGAAAAGACAACAGGACAUAUCACUGUGCAGCCCCUCCGUCGUCAAGUUCAAAGUCAUUGGUAACCUGAAAGGAGCGCUGAAAAUUCAAAGCCACUCCAGCGUUCUAGCUGUUUCAGCAAGCGUGUUUCACUCACCAGCGUUCGCAAUGGAGGCCCUCGUUUCUGCGGUCCUCGGUGACCUCAUCAGCCGAUCCAUAUCCUUCGCCGUGGACAGGUGCUGCCACCGGCGGCGCAAGGGCGGCAUAGAGGACUCCCCGCUCCGUCUGCGCCGCGUGCUUCUACGAGUCCAGGCCGUCGUCGAGGAGGCCGACCGGCGGCGGGUCACCAACCAGGCGAUGCUCCGGCAGCUUCAGCUGAUGAGGGAAGGCGUGUACAGGGGCUACUACCUCCUCAGCGCCUUCAAGAGCCAAGGCGCUAUGCAAGGCAAGACCCAACAAGAUCGCGAGGUCAGUCACUCAUCGUCGUCGUUCGCCUUGUCCCAGUUCAAUCCGGCGAAGCGCCUGUGUACUGUCUCCGCCAGGACGACGACGGCGAACGUGGCAUCUGACGACACCAGACGCGAGGGGGAUGCGGAGGCGGAGCUGCGAGAGGUCCUCACCAGCCUAGAGCGCAUGGCCAACGACAUGAAGGAGCUCGUCGUGUUCUUGAGCUGCUACCCUCCCACGCGCCGCGAGCCUUACAGCGGGCACCUGUGGUUGGAGAACCGCAUGUUCGGGCGCGAGGCAGAGCAGGAGAGGAUCAUGAGCUUCUUGCUGGAAACAGAGCCGCCUGUGGGCACAGAAGAUCUGGGCGUUCUUCCGGUGAUCGGUCGAGCAAGAGUUGGCAAGAGCACCCUCGUCGAGCACGUCUGCUUGGACGAGAGGGUGCGCAAGCACUUCUCCUUGAUCGUAUUCCUCGGCGAAGGCGACAUCGAGGAUGGAAACCUAUCAUCGCCUCAUCAACUGGGAGACAACGGCAUAAUCAAGCAUCGGCAUCUCAAUUCGUCGGCCGGAAAAUCACUGGUUGUUAUUGAGCUUGAUGGCGACGACGUGGAUGAGAGCACGCUGGGAAGAAUUCUCUCCGCACUGAGGCGAGAACGCACCGCACCUGUCAGGAAAAUACUUGUUACAAGCCGGUCAGAGAAGAUUGCAAGUUUUGGGACAACACGAGCUCUGGAGCUGAAACCAUUGCCUCGAGAAGCCUACUGGUACUUCUUCAAGACGAUCGCGUUUGGGAGCACGGAUGCCGGAGAUCAGCCGGAGUUAGCAUCCGUAUGCAUGGAGAUCGCGGGCCUGUUGAACAGAUCAUUCAUAGCGGCAAAUUUGAUUGGUGGCUUACUGAGAGCCAAUCCUUGUUCUCAGUUUUGGCGAAAAGUUCUCAAAGGCUACAGAGAUAACACAAGCAUGCACCUGCUUCUGUUUGGUGAGCAUCAAUCCGACCUCCUAGCGAAAGAUCGGCCAGUAUACUUUUGGAGAUUAGUACCCAAGACUCAGUCUAUCCUCAUAGUCUACAGUUGUUACCAAGUGUGUUCACCCCGGAAACAUGGUCUGCCUAAGAUAACCGCGAACGAUGUUCAAAUUGGAAGAGCAAGGCCUCGAGGGAAGUUUGAAGUCCUGGCAUGGAGAUCUCACAUACCACCCUACUAUAGCUACAUGUUGAGCUCCGAGGAGCGAACAUCGUCGUCUGCACUACGCAUACCGGCCCGAAAUAAGCAAAUCCGGCAGCAGUAGGCAGUAGAAGACUCAAUUUGAUGUGAAUAUUAUGUUCAUAUUUGUAUUACUUGGCACUGUACAAUGUUUUAUCCAUUAAGUAGCAUUAGCACACCAUGGAGGUGUUUUGCCUUGUGAUCAUGCGUGCUCGUCUGUAGCAGAUUAAUUAUUGCAACUUGGGGUAAUCCGUAAUCCAUUAAGUAGGAGACUCUUAUUUUUGUGGGGUAAUUCCAAACAGAGGAACUAACUACUGAGUACUGAGGCGUGGCUGUAGCUUGCUAGAAAAUUCAAAUCAAAAGACCCUUAAAUCAUAAUAAUCUACCCUUUUUACAACCACGUGUCUGACAACAAGAACAGAAAUUGUUGUAUGAAGUCCACUUGGAUUGGAAUUUCAGAAACGCUUGACUGACCUACGAAUCAACUACGCGCAGAAGCAAAGACUUGUGCACCUGAAGUUGACCACUCCUUGUCCCGUUCUCCUCUCCUGUCCACUUUCCACCUUCAACCUGUGGAGUUGCUUCUUUCUGCAGUCGCAUCUGAUCUCCUCGGCAGAGCCCUCUCCAAAGUCUCCAUCGUGAUCCAGAGGUGCAGACGGUUUUAGGCAGAAGAGUCAGCAGCACAAGCUCCAGCAGCAGCCAGUUACAUUUGCAUUUCGCUGCUUUUCUUUUCAACGUUGCAGGCAGACAUGAGCAGAAGCAAAGACUUGUGCAUAUGAAGUUAACCGCUCAUUGCCCCGUUCUCUGUUCUAUUCUCCAUUGUACCCACCACCAAAUCUUCUCUCGUGGUGUCUAGCAAUGGAGCCCCUUCUCUCCGCGAUCAUAAGCGAUCUCCUGAGCAGAGCACUAUCCAUGCUGAUACAGAGGUAUAGGCGAUCCAAGGCAGAAGAGACAGAGCACAAGCUCCAGCGGCUGCAGCGCGUGCUGCUCCGGGUUGAUGCCAUGGUGGAGGAGGCCGAGGAGCGGCACAUCACCAACCAGGCGAUGCUCCGGCAGCUUGACAUGCUCAGGCAAGGCAUGUACGGCGGCCACUGCAUGCUAGAUACCUUCAGGUACAGAGUCCAUGGACAUGGAGACGACGACGAGGUGAGUGGCGACGGCGAUGUUGUCUUGUCUCGAUUUAGUUCAGCCAAGCGUUUCCUCUCCUUCCCCGGAAGCAGCAGCAAGGAGCAGAGCACCGUGAUUGACGCUGAAAACCUGAAGAACCUGGAGAAGAUGCUCGACGGCCUCGAGACGCUGAUGGGCGACAUGGUGGAGUUCGCCGUGUUCUUGGAGGGAUACCCUCGCAUCUGCCGGCAGCCGUACAGCGAAUACCUGGUCCUCGACAGGGUCAUGUUCGGAAGGCAGAUGGAGAAGGAGACGGUCAUCAAUUUCCUGCUCCGGCCAGAAGCUACGGGCGACGGAAAUCCAGGGGUGCUUCGAAUCGUCGGCGCGGCGAGGGUCGGCAAGAGCACCCUCGUUGAGCACGUCUGCCUCGACGAAAGGGUGCGUGGUUAUUUCUCCUCCAUCGUCUUCUUCACCGGAGACGAUCUUGGUGCUGACAACAUGGCUGCUCUGGGACGAAGUGGUGUGAUCAAGCAUCAGGAUCUUACUGCCUCCUCCUCGUGUGGGAGAUCACUUGUUGUCAUUGAGCUAACCGGGGCCAUGGAAGAGGAGACAUGGAGGAAUUUGUACUGCUCUGCUGCAAGAAGCAUGGGGAACGGGGACAAGAUCAUAAUCACAAGCCGGUCAGAGAAGAUAGCAGCUCUUGGCACAACGCAAGCUCUCAGACUGAAGCUUCUACCUCAAGAAGCUUACUGGUACUUCUUCAAGGUGCUCGCGUUCGGGAGCGCAAACCCUGACGAUCACCCGAAGCUCGCUUCGCUAGGCAUGGAGAUUGCAACGCUGAUGAACGGUUCGUUCUUGGGAGCAAACAUAGUGGGAAGUUUGAUAAGGGCCAACCUGAACGUUCAGUUCUGGCGCAGGGUGCUUCAUUGCGUGAGAGAUUUCUUAAGCAAGCACCUUCUCACAUUCGGUAUGGACCCGACAGAUCUUUUGGAGAAUGGAUAUCCAUUGUAUGCUUGGAGUAUGGCCAGGAGCCGAAAUGUCGUUGUGAUCCACAAAAUUUAUCAGAAGCGUACUACCCAGAAUGGUGUCCCGAAGCUCACAGCACAUGACAUCAUAGCAGGGCGUGCCACACAUAAGGGGAAGUUCAGAGCAGUUGGAUGGAGGUCCAGCGUACCUCCUUACUACACCUACGUGUUCAAUUGUGUGUCACAAACGGCCGGAUGCUCCACGGCCAGAAAGAAGCGCCCUCGGCAGGUGGUGGUUUGAUAGUCCUAUACCCAUGUGUAAUACUCAGCUGUAUGUAAACUAGCACGGUGAUCUCUUCAAAUAGCACGGUGACCAAGUAUAGGCUAACAUUUAUGUAAUUAUCACCUAUCUAUAAAAAUUGAACCUAUCAAGUGUAUGAUACAUGCUGGAAAAAUAUACGUCACAAUUCAUCUAUAUCACGUUAUGAAAAACAAAACAUAUUACAACAUAACCAUAUCAUGUUAAGAUUUUCUUUAACUACUCAUCCAUGUCACGUUAGAGGAUAAAUCGUCACGCUUAAACAGACAUGUCACGCGAGGAAAAACAUGUUACAUCUGUAGCACAUUGUCACAGCUAAUGGAUUGUCACGUGUUACAUAUUGUUUGAUCUAAUAGGGUUAUGCAUGGAAGUUAGAUCUAACAGGAAGAAAUAUUUUUCCUAUUUUCAAAAUUAAAAAUAUAUAAAUAAUAUUUAAUUUAUUACCUCCUAGGUAAUUAGCCGGCCAUAUCCGGCUAAACGGACGGUCCACAGUCAUUUUGGAGUACCGUAGCAAAGCCCUUUCUACUAAACACAAUGCUCAAACUAUAUGUUUAAUUAAACAUAUGUCAAACACAUAUGAAGGAGGUGUGAUGCAAAGUGAAAAGUAUGAACGUGGAUGAAAUGUGGAUGAAAAUGUGUAUAGAGUAAUUGUUACCUACUAAAAUCUAACUGGUAAACGGAAUCAGUGACCCGUGUGUCAUAUCAUUGUCUUACUAACAUUUUACCUCUGAAUCGUCAUAAUGUCUUUAUACCCGCUUUGAUCCUUUAUUUAUCUUUUUUUAUUUGAAGUUAUGUGUCAUGGUAAUACCAAGGCCAGGAGUGUUUCAAAGUCUCUGUAUCAUGUUAAUGCAACGAUCUUAAAGCUUUCUUUAUUGGACAAAAGAAGUGCAUUUUUCUUUACCCUGUCUUCUACGCAUGUUCUCCGGAGCCGAGUCAAAUCUGCGGAUCAGCAACCCCUCUCUAACGCGUAAAAUGGACUGCCAGAUGGAACCAUACACUAAAUUCAGUGAUGUUACCAUCAGUUCAUCACCCAUGACCAUGACCUAGUAUGAGCCUCGUGGAGAGUCAUUUUCUUUUUUGGUCCAUUCAUACUGUAAUGUCCACAAAUUUUCUGUCCUCCAUUUCGAAGUCAAGUCAACAGCGUGCACCAACCUUGGACUGCUGACAUGAGACAUGAGAGGAUGCUUGCAAUGGAGAAACUUCUCUCCAUUGCGCCAUGAACCUUCUCCUUGCCGCGAUCUCCAUUUCACCACAAACCUUUUCCUUGAGAGAAUCCUUGCAAUGGAGGCCAUUCUUUCUGCGAUCAUGAGCAACCUCCUGAGCAGAGCCCUAUCCAUGGUGAUCCAGAGGUACAAGAGGUCAGAAGAGGCAGAGCACAAGAUCCAGCGGCUGCAGCGCGUGCUGCUCCGGGUCGACUCAAUGGUGGAGGAGGCCGAGGGGCGGCACAUCACCAAUCAGGCGAUGAUCCGGCAGCUUGAGAUGCUCAGGCAAGGCAUGUACGGGGGUCACUACAUGCUCGACACCGUCAAUUACAGAGGCCAUGACGAGGUGAGUGGUGGCCUCCCUGUUGCCCUGCCUAGAUUCAGUUCAGCCAAGCGGCUCCCCUCCUUUCCCGGCAGCAGCAGCAGCAAUGGAAACCGGCAGAACACCGAGAGCCUGAAGAAUCUGGAGAAGAUGCUCGACGGCCUCGAGACGUUGGUGGGCGACAUGCUGGAAUUCGCCGUGUUCUCGCGGGGAUACCCUCGCAUAUGCCGGCAGCCGUACGGCACGUACUUGAUUCUUGGCAACGUAAUGUUCGGCCGGCAGAUGGAGAUGGAGACGGUCAUCAACUUCCUGCUCCGGCCAGAAUCCCCCGCUGGCAAUGAAAACCCCGGCGUGCUUCCGAUCGUCGGCGCGGCGAGGAUCGGUAAGAGCACGCUUGUUGAGCAUGUCUGCCUUGAUGGCAGGGUGCGCAGCUACUUCUCAUCCAUUGUUCUCUUCACCGGAGAAGACCUGGGUGCUUUCAGAGGCAGUGCUGUGAUCAAGCACCAAGAUGUCACUGCUCCUUCACAUGGGAGGUCACUUGCCGUCAUCGAGCUAGCUGGGGACAUCGACGAGGCGGCAUGGAGGAGGCUGUACUACUCGGCAGCAAGCAGCAUGGGGCAUGGGAGCAAGAUUGUAAUCACAAGCAGAUCAGAGGAGGUAGUUGCUCUUGGAACAACCGAGGCUCUCAGACUGAAGGGUCUGCCGCAAGAAGCUUACUGGUACUUCUUCAAGGCGCUCGCAUUCGGAAGCGCGAACCCCGAUGACCAACCAAAGCUCGCAUCCCUGGCCAUGGAGAUCGCGGAGCUGCUGAACGGUGCGUUCUUGGCAGGAAACAUAGUGGCAAGCUUGAUGAGAGCCAAUCUGAACGCCGAGUUCUGGCUCAGGAUGCUUCAGUGCUUGAGAGGCUGCGCAAGGAAGCACCUGCUCAUGUUUGGCAAGCAUCCUAACAGGCUCUUGCAGCAAGGGCGGUAUGUGUACACUUGGAGGAUGCCCAGGACUCGCGACGUAGUCACGGUAAUCUGCAACCCGUAUCAGAAGCCAUCUCCCCAGGACGAUGUCCCUGAGGUAACCGUACAAGAUAUUCUAUCAGGACGCUCUACGCGUCAGGGAAAUUUCAGUGUUGUGGCAUGGAGAUCAGUCGUUCCCCCCUACUACACCUACUUUGCAAGCUGCGCGUCGCAGACGGCCGGAUGCUCUACGGUCAACAAGAAGCGCCCACGGCAUGCCAUGGUGUGAUGUUACCUUUUUCUGGCAAUAUCACUCUUCAAAUACACACACUAACAGAGUUUAGCUGUAACCCUGUAAUGUAUGGCUUUGAUCAGAUUAUUCGCAUACAUAAGCGUAUUACUGUAUAUAAAAUGCUAGUAGUGUCCAGAUGCUAAGCUGAAAUCAUGUACGGUUUCGAUCAGGCUAUCUGCUUACAGAGUUACAGGAUGAGCCUUAGGCCCGUCCACACAGCAUAGCCACCAGAUUCACAGGCAAUGGCCAGUGGCCACCAUCUGAAAUCUUGAUGGUGCUUCAGCUCAAACAGCAUCUAGAUUCACCAGCAGCUGAACAGGGGACCUAGCUGCUGAACCUAAAGUCCUAAGGUCUUCACUCAGCAAAAAUCACAAUUCAGAUAGCAAUCACAAAGAUGGAACAAGGAAAAGCAAGAGGCAACGAAACAUUCAAGGAUUGCCGAUCUUCAACAAAAUGGUAAAGCUAGCCUACAAAAUUAGAGGCCAAUUCUGACAAACAACUCCGGUAUACAACAUCAAAUAACACACGGUGAAAAGAAGGCCACAUGAAACACCAUUAUUUGUUCUGGUUAAACCGUGGCACAAUAAUGUAACGUCGGCCAAAAUUUAAAGAUGACACCAGUAGACAAUGCAA